Molecule: ribosomal RNA, 440 nt
Filed under: uncultured bacterium
Lineage: Bacteria
Description: partial 16S ribosomal RNA
Rfam family: Bacterial small subunit ribosomal RNA
Source: RNAcentral
CCUACGGGGGGCUGCAGUGGGGAAUAUUGCACAAUGGGGGGAACCCUGAUGCAGCGACGCCGCGUGAGUGAAGAAGGAUUUCGGAAUGUAAAGCUCUAUCAGCAGGGAAGAAAAUGACGGUACCUGACUAAGAAGCCAUGGCUAAAAACGUGCCAGCAGCCGCGGUAACACGUAGGGGGCAAGCGUUAUCCGGAUUUACUGGGUGUAAAGGGGGUGUAGACGGUUUUGCAAGUCUGAAGUGAAAGCCCAAGGCUCAACCAUGGGACUGCUUUGGAAACUGUAAAACUGGAGUGCAGGAGAGGUAAGCGGAAUGCCUAGUGUAGCGGUGAAAUGCGUAGAUAUUAGGAGGAACACCAGUGGCGAAGGCGGCUUACUGGACUGUAACUGACGUUGAGGCUCGAAAGCGUGGGGAGCAAACAGGAUUAGAUACCCGGGUAGUC